Non-coding RNA from Filobasidium floriforme, 93 nucleotides. The record is from the annotation of a RefSeq genome assembly. NCBI's taxonomy places the organism in Eukaryota, Fungi, Basidiomycota, Tremellomycetes, Filobasidiales, Filobasidiaceae.
GCCCGUUGAGCUCCGUUGGUAGAGCAGCCGACUCUUAAUAGCUUCACAGCCAUUGCGAUCGGCAGGUCGUGGGUUCGAUCCCCACAAUGGGCU